This 402-nucleotide ribosomal RNA is filed under the name uncultured prokaryote. RNAcentral describes it as "bacterial SSU rRNA". It matches the Rfam family "Bacterial small subunit ribosomal RNA", at positions 355 to 774 of the family's 1533-position model. The record is from RNAcentral.
UGGGGAACAUUAGAAAUGGACGAAAGUCUGAUCUAGCAACACCGCGUGUGCGAAGAAGGCCUUCGGGUCGUAAAGCACUUUUUGGAAGGAAUAGGGAGGAAUGUACUUCCAGAAUAAGUCUCGGCUAACUUCGUGCCAGCAGCCGCGGUAACACGUAGGAGGCAAACGUUAUCCGGAUUUACUGGGCGUAAAGCGCGUGUAGGUGGUACUGUAAGUAGGGCGUGAAAGCUCCUGGCUCAACUGGGAGAGGCCGUUCUAAACUACAGAACUAGAGGAUGGUAGAGGGAGGUGGAAUUCCAGGUGUAGCGGUGGAAUGCGCAGAUAUCUGGAGGAACACCGGUGGCGAAGGCGACCUCCUGGACCAUUCCUGACACUCAGACGCGAAAGCUAGGGUAGCAAACG